GUUCCAGUCAGCAAACAACGUGGACAUGAGGGUCCCUGCUCAGCUCCUGGGGCUCCUGCUGCUCUGGAUUGCAGGUGCCAGAUGUGACAUCCAGUUGACCCAGCCACCAUCCCUGUCAUCAUCUCUGGGAGACAGAGUCACCAUCACUUGCAGAGCGAGUCAGGGCAUUGGCAAUAAUUUACAUUGGUACCAGCAGAUAGCAGGGAAAGCUCCAAAGCUCCUGCUCAGUUAUGCAACUACUUUGCAAUCAGCGUUUCCACCAAGGUUCAGUGGCAGUGGAUCUGGGACAGAGUUCACUGUCCCCAUCAGCAGCCUGCAGCCUGAAGAUGCCGCAACUUAUUUCUGUCAACAGAGUUAUACCUAUCCUCCCAAAGUGACACAAGUCAUUACAAAAACCUCCCAGCAAGGCAGAAGUGAGAGGCUGGCCUGUCCCAGCUGCUGCUCCUGGGACCUCUACCUGCACAACUGCCUCUACUCUACACAACUUCUCAGAUGA
This is a non-coding RNA of Dipodomys spectabilis (banner-tailed kangaroo rat), 496 nucleotides long. NCBI's taxonomy places the organism in Eukaryota, Metazoa, Chordata, Mammalia, Rodentia, Heteromyidae. The record is from the annotation of a RefSeq genome assembly.